UCACACUUGUCUUGACUUGGCAUAUAUGUAUAUCGCGCACUGGGAGAUCUCUAUACCUUAUACACUAUCUCUCUAUGCGUGUAAGACACACAGAAUGACUUCUCUGUAUCGCGUUAUCCCUCAAUUGCGUUACACCGUGACCCAAUAUUCUUAUAUUAUGGAUAACUCAGGGAAAGUUUGGCUAAUACGUACACGAGUCUAUAUAUAUAUAUAUAUACACUAUUCACACACACACACACACACACUCUUAUAUGUGUAUCGACGACGGGUCUUGCUUUCUAUACACGCGCUCACUGCAUGCAACCAUGUUACGAUAUAUAUAGUGAAUAGUGAUAUCUACUCAGCACUCAAUGGUAAACUUUUUAGAUUUGCAUACUGUUACAUCGCUUCGGCGUGUACUAUAUGUAUUUCUUAACACUUAUUCACAGUUUACACGCACCAUGAGAGACAUUGAGCACGCUCUAGUGUGAAUGAAUUUCAUUUACACGUCUACGCUGAGCAGACUUUGCGAAGUUUACUUUGCGAAGCAUGUCAUACAAGCAUCUACAGCAUCAAGUCACAGGGUUGGCAAGUGUAUUAUUGAACCUUCAAAGCAGUCACGCAUACGGAGGAGUAGUUUCUUAUCCCAUAGAAGGAGCACCGUACAAUGAGAGACCGCUCUUAGUUCUAAGGAACGCAGCAGGCGCAAAAAUUGCCCAAUGCUAGUACCCUAUUAUACUAUCGAAUACACGCACACAUUAUAUAUUAUAUCCUUGUUCGCAUAGUCUCACAUUAUACUGAGGCAGUGACAAGCUGUAACGGUUGAGUAUUUAUAAUGACGAGUGUCUGGCAUUGCCGCUUCCUCGGAAGCUUGGCAAGUUGCCGACGCUUUGUGUGCUCAAUUGGAAUGCGGUGAGUCCAAGCAACUCAGAACCUUUGAACCUGUGUUUACACGAUCUCACGUGUUUACACUAUUCAUGUAUCUGAAUUUCAAGUGGAGGGCAAGUCUGGUGCCAGCAGCCGCGGUAAUACCAGCUCCACUGGCCUAUACAAUCAUUGUUGCGGUUAAGAGGCUCGUAGUUGGAUUGAACUACUCAUACACAUGCACUUUCACAUGCAUAUAUUUUAGUAGCACGCAUAUAUAUACACUAUACACACACACACACACAGUAUAUAUAUAUAUAUGCGUUCGACUUCUAUUGUAUCGUAUAUACGUUACGUACGUACGUGAUGAGUGCAAAGAGAGUGUAUAUACCUCACCCUUUCAACACUGUGAACAAAUCAGAGUGUAUCAAACAUGUCUUUUUCAUUUGAAUGCGCAUUGAAUGUCUUAUCAUGGGACGUUGCCUAUUCUCAUACCUCUAAACCAUUGAAAAGUAACRUGUACGAUGCACACUCAUAUACACUCUAUACAUGCACACACACACACACUCACUCACAAUACACAUACACGUGUAUAUAAAGCAUCCUCAGCCUGCAAAAUGCCUUAUGGCUUGAGCUUGUAUCUUUUACGAGGUACGCUCGCUGUAUAGCACUUUUAUGCACGGUCUCGACGGACGUUUCAUUUCAUUAUUCUUUAUUUAUUGCGUGUAGGCAUUAUGACUAUAUAUUUUUAAACGAAUGUAUAUCAUUAGCGUGCACAGGAUUUUCGGAGCUUUGCGCUCAAUUUAUUCUGGUGAGAUGUAAGCAUCAUGUUUCUUUCUGCCGCGUACUUCUUGUGACUCACGUCUCAAUGAAUGUAUCGUGCAGCAAGGUUACACUUUAUUUUAUAUGAUGUGAAGCACGCUUUAGGCACGCGCUUACUGCAGAAAUGUCUGAGACAUUCCUUUCCGGGGGAAGUAUGUACGCAAGUAUGAAACUUGAAGGAAUUGACGGAAGGGCACCACAAGAACGCGUGGAGCAUGUGGCUUAAUUUGACUCAACGCGGGAAAUCUUACCGGGUCCGGACACACUGAGGAUUGACAGGCAAUAUUAUACUCUCUCUCUGCUCUCUCACGAGUGCAUGGGGUGUAUAUGUUAAAUAUGCUAGUCCUUUCAUGAUUAUGUGAUAGGUGGUGCAUGGCCGUUCUUAGUUCGUGGAGUGAUCUGUCUGCUUAAUUGCGUUUCACUAAAGGGCUUAUACAUUUAUAUAUUUUAUAUAUACUAUGCGCAUACACUUUACUGUGUGUGUGUGUAUGUGUGUGUAUCUCAUAUACUUAGGCUCUGAAAGCAACGAACGUGACCGCAACCUCUUGUUGCCUUAUAUACAACACUCAUAUGCACUUUAUUGUGUGUGUGUAGUGUGACGCCAAGGCUUUUUAAACUAGAGGGACCGCUGUGACAUUCUUUCAACCAGAGGAAGGCUGCGGCAAUAACAGGUCUGUGAUGCCCUUAGAUGUUCCGGGCUGCACACGUGCUACAAUGAUUAUUGCAGUGAGCAUCUCAUUUGAUUUAUACAUCGCUUGCGCGAGUACACGCGUAUAUAUAUAUUAUACUUUACUGUAUAUGUAUGUGUGUAUGUGUGUACUCUGCGCGCGAUUCAGCCUGCUCCGUUAGGUAGCGGGUAAUCAAUUAGAAGUAGUGAUUUCCUUUAUAUUUUUUGCACGACUAUAUACGGCGUCUUAUGCCCGGCUUAUACUUCGCUAUAGGUUUUGUGUUGCAUUCGAUGUAUAACCGUAUGUGCAAUUGUCAAUUCAUGGUGGGGACAGACCAUUGUUAAUUGUUGGUCUCGGUCUUAACUAGGAAUGCCUUGUACGGGUCUUUGGUCCAACAAACCACCCGGAAUACGUCCCUGCCCUUUGUACACGCCGCCCGUCGCUCUUACCGAUGGAUUUCUCUGUGAGUUUGAGGGACUGGAUACACCAACAUCUAUGNAAACUUAAACGAACAGUGUGAUCUAAAGGAAAGAGAAGUCGAACAAGGCA
This 2882-nucleotide ribosomal RNA is filed under the name Elphidium asklundi. RNAcentral describes it as "SSU rRNA". The stretch from base 491 to 2882 matches the Rfam family "Eukaryotic small subunit ribosomal RNA". The record is from RNAcentral. Lineage: Eukaryota; Foraminifera; Rotaliida; Elphidiidae.